Molecule: ribosomal RNA, 329 nt
Filed under: uncultured eukaryote
Lineage: Eukaryota
Description: partial 18S ribosomal RNA
Rfam family: Eukaryotic small subunit ribosomal RNA
Source: RNAcentral
CCCUUAGAUGUUCUGGGCCGCACGCGCGCUACACUGACGGAGGCAGCGAGCGUGUCCUUCGCCGGCAGGUGCGGGCAAUCUUGCGAGUCUCCGUCGUGCUGGGGAUAGAUGGUUGCAAUUGUCGAUCUUGAACGAGGAAUUCCUAGUAAGCGCGAGUCAUCAGCUCGCGCUGAUUACGUCCCUGCCCUUUGUACACACCGCCCGUCGCUACUACAGAGUGCCCGUGUCCAAGAAACGGUCGGACCUGUGCGGCCUCUCCGGGCGACCGGAGGGCCGUUACGGGGAAGACCCUUUAGUUGACGCGGGUCGAUGAAGUAAAAGUCGUAACA